This 580-nucleotide ribosomal RNA is filed under the name uncultured bacterium. Its description in RNAcentral is "bacterial SSU rRNA". It matches the Rfam family "Bacterial small subunit ribosomal RNA", at positions 623 to 1212 of the family's 1533-position model. The record is from RNAcentral.
CCAUUCGAUACUGUUAGACUGGAGGGCAGCAGAGGGAGAUGGAAUUCCCGGUGUAGUGGUGAAAUGCGUAGAUAUCGGGAGGAACACCAGUGGCGAAAGCGGUCUCCUGGGCUGUUCCUGACACUGAGGCCCAAAAGCGUGGGGAGCAAACAGGAUUAGAUACCCUGGUAGUCCACGCCUUAAACGAUGGAUACUAGGUAUGGGGGGUAUCGACCCCCUCCGUGCCACAGUUAACACCUUAAGUAUCCCGCCUGGGGAGUACGGUCGCAAGACUAAAACUCAAAGGAAUUGACGGGGACCCGCACAAGCAGCGGAGCGUGUGGUUUAAUUCGAUGCAACACGAAGAACCUCACCAAGGCUUGACAUACAAGAAGUAGUGAACCGAAAGGGGAACGACCUGUUAAGUCAGGAGCUUGAACAGGUGCUGCAUGGUUGUCGUCAGCUCGUGCCGUGAGGUGUUGGGUUAAGUCCCGCAACGAGCGCAACCCUCGUUGCCAGUUGUUUUCUCUGGCGAGACUGCCCCGCAAGACGGGGAGGAAGGUGGGGAUGACGUCAAAUCAGCACGGCCCUUAUGCCUUGG